Molecule: ribosomal RNA, 1881 nt
Filed under: human gut metagenome
Description: bacterial LSU rRNA
Rfam family: Bacterial large subunit ribosomal RNA
Source: RNAcentral
UCAAGCUGGAAAGAGCGCAAGGGGAAUGCCUUGGCAUCAGGAGCCGAAGAAGGACGUGACAAGCUGCGAAAAGCCUCGGGGAGGAGCAAAUAUCCAUUGAUCCGGGGAUAUCCGAAUGGGGCAACCCGGCUGGACAAUAUCCAGUCAUCCUGCGUUGAACAAAAUAGGCGUAGGAAGGGAACCGCCUGAACUGAAACAUCUAAGUAGGGCGAGGAAGAGACAUCAACCGAGAUUCCGCAAGUAGUGGCGAGCGAACGCGGAAGAGGCCAAACCGAGGGAUUUAUUCCUCGGGGUUGCGGACAGUCAUUUAGCGGAAGUUAUCUAGGAGAAGGGUCUGGGAAGGCCCGCCACAGAGGGUGAGAGCCCCGUAUCCGAAAGAGAAGGCCGUGCGACUGAAUCCAGAGUACCGCGGGACACGUGAAACCCCGUGGGAAACAGGGGGGACCACCCUCCAAGCCUAAAUACUACCUGAUGACCGAUAGAGGAGCAGUACCGUGAGGGAAAGGUGAAAAGGACCCCGGGAGGGGAGUGAAAGAGAACCUGAAACCUUGUGCUUACAAGCAGUCAAAGCGCGUUAAAGCGUGAUGACGUACUUUUUGUAGAACGGUCCGGCGAGUUAUAGUAACGAGCAAGCUUAAGGUAUUGAGUACCGGAGGCGAAGCGAGAGCGAGUCUGAAUAGGGCGUAAAGUUCGUUGCCAUAGACCCGAAACCGGGUGACCUAUCCAUGAGCAGGCUGAAGUGAGAGUAAAAUCUCAUGGAGGGCCGAACCGACCCCCGUUGCAAUGGUGGCGGAUGACUUGUGGAUAGCGGAGAAAUUCCAAUCGAACUCGGAGAUAGCUGGUUCUCCCCGAAAUAGCUUUAGGGCUAGCCUCAUAUUAGAUACCCGGAGGUAAAGCACUGAAUGGCCUAGCGCCCGAGAGGGUAGCGAAGCCUAUCAAACUAAGAAUGCCGGAGUAUUGAUGUAUGGGAGUCAGACAGUGUGAGAUAAAUCUCAUUGUCAAAAGGGAAACAGCCCAGAUCUACAGCUAAGGUCCCAAAUUGUAUCUAAGUGGAAAACGAUGUGGAAAUACGCAGACAACCAGGAUGUUGGCUCAGAAGCAGCCACUCAUUUAAAGAGUGCGUAAUAGCUCACUGGUCGAGCGUCUCUGCGCGGAAAAUUUAACGGGGCUAAGAUACAAACCGAAGCUUAGGCUGCAUCGUAAGAUGCGGGGUAGGGGAGCGUUGUGUAAGCGGAGAAACAGUAGCGUAAGCGGCUGUGGAGUUUACAGAAGUGAGAAUGCCGGAAUGAGUAGCGCGAAUGUGGUGAGAAUCCACAUGGCCGGAAACCUCAGGUUUUUGGAGGAAGGUUCGUCCGCUCCAAGUUAGGCGGGAGCUAAGGUCAGGCCGAAAGGCGUAGCCGAUGCACAGACGGUAGAGAUUCCGUCCCCACCGAAAGAUUUAAGCACAGGGACACUUUUUGAAGGUCGGAGCCAGGUGUUGGUUCUGGUAGUGAUCGAGGGAAAUAUAGUACCGAAGUCCGGCUGGAAGAGAGGCGAGAAAAGCUGUGUGUAUAUCUAAGGUGCCCGUACCGCAAACCGACACAGGUAGGUAGGAAGAAGAUUCUAAGGCCAACGGGAGAAGGGUUGUUAAGGAACUCGGCAAAUUGACCCCGUAACUUCGGGAGAAGGGGUGCUCCAGAGAUGGAGCCGCAGAGAAUCGGCCCAAGCAACUGUUUACCAAAAACACAGGUUUGUGCUAAAUCGAAAGAUGACGUAUACGAGCUGACGCCUGCCCGGUGCUGGAAGGUUAAGAGGAGAUGUGCAAGCAUUGAAUCGAAGCCCCAGUGAACGGCGGCCGUAACUAUAACGGUCCUAAGGUAGCGAAAUUCCUUGUCAGGUAAG